UCCCUGGUUGUCCAGUGGUUACAACUCCACACUUCCAUUGCAGUGGCCACAGGUUCAAUCCCUGAUCAGGGAA
This 73-nucleotide transfer RNA is filed under the name Capra hircus (goat). It matches the Rfam family "tRNA". Rfam says of the family: Transfer RNA (tRNA) molecules are approximately 80 nucleotides in length. RNAcentral also lists the same sequence under 1 other name. The record is from Rfam by way of RNAcentral. Lineage: Eukaryota; Metazoa; Chordata; Mammalia; Artiodactyla; Bovidae.